AUGUACUAUCCUCACACUAUUUAUAAUCUUGUAAAGCAUGCCAUUAAUUUAAUUACAUUUUCAAGGGACACGUAGCGUGAUGUCGAACGAUUAUUUUCUUUUAAAUCAGCAUGCCUCUGUGAUUAGUGUUAAGAUUUAUGGAAGGCACAAUGUUUUCUGGUCUGGCAGGCUUAUUCAUAUUAAUGUGCCAGCCAAAACUAUUCUGGUUCAGUUUGCACAUUUCUUUCCUUCUUAA
RNAcentral lists this long non-coding RNA (235 nucleotides) under Prunus dulcis (almond). RNAcentral's name for it is "sRNA ncRNA". Lineage: Eukaryota; Viridiplantae; Streptophyta; Magnoliopsida; Rosales; Rosaceae. The record is from RNAcentral.